This 378-nucleotide ribosomal RNA is filed under the name Triticum aestivum (bread wheat). RNAcentral describes it as "partial small subunit ribosomal RNA". The record is from RNAcentral. Lineage: Eukaryota; Viridiplantae; Streptophyta; Magnoliopsida; Poales; Poaceae.
AUGGACGGAUGGAUGGCACUGGGUUUUACUGCCCUGAGGUGGAAGUUUCCACUGGCCUUUUGGGAGCAGCGGCGAGUGAGGCUGGAUUCCAUUGGCCAGCGAAAGAUCUCGCUGCUAAUUGGACGACAGGUACGUGCAGCAUUGGCACCAUCUGCGGCAGCAGCUUCUUCUUCUUCUCCGUCUGUGCAGAGAGGUCCGGGCCACCUCGAUUUUGCCCUUUGCAUGGGGAGAAGAAGCGUGCUGAAAGGCUGGUUUGGUUUGACAUUUCUCAUUAUUGAGGUCGCUGUCCCUCCCUCGCUCACUCACUCGCUCUUGGCGAGGAGACACAUGCUGCUGGGGAGAUCGAAGGUGAGAUAUUCUUGGCCAGCCGUGUGGUAA